UUUCGUACUUUAAUAAAAAAAACUUUUUUUUUUCUAAAUAAUGACUAUUUUGUAUAAUAUUAGUAUAAACUAUUUAACAUAUAAGUACUACUCAUUCAAUAGUUUAUUUUUUUAAUUUAUUAGAGAAAGAGUGGUGCAUAUAUAAUUCAAAUAAAAGGUAAUUUCAUAUUGCAAAAAAGUUUGUGGAAAAAGGAAAUUUGAACAAGCAUUGAAAUUUAUAGGAACAAUAUUGGAAACCUAGUUUUAGGUUUGUCCCAUACCAACAAUCAUGACUUGGUAGUAGCCUAAUCUCAUAUCUAACUUUGUCAAGCCCUUCCUUUACUAAGUUGAUCAAACAAGUUGUUAAAAAGCAUAAUACAAUAUUUUUCACUUUCACCUUGUUGAGUCUUCGAUAAUCUAUACACAUUCAAAGGGAUCCAUUAUGUUUCUUUUAGAAUAAUAUUGGUGUGGCAUACGAAGCUUUAGUUUGUUGGAUGUAUCCCAUGUUAAGCAACUCCUUAAGUUGUUUCCUUAGUUCUUCUAAAUUACGUAGUGCCAUCCUAUUGGACCUCCAUGGCAAAGGGCUUAGCUCCUGGCUCUAAAUCAAUCUUGUGCUCCCCUUCCCUUAUUUGUGUGAAUUUCUUAUGUAAAUUUAAUGGCAUCUAAGGAUGACAAAGUUUGAUACAAUUUGUACGUCAACCAGACUUGAACCCGAGCAUUUUUAGUGAGUUUGUGUUUCCAUACCGUAAGUUGGAUUCAUGAAAGUCUCAGACUUGAAUCAAUUGAAUUAAAAAUAAAUAUUCAUGUUGUUAUUAAUUUAGUUUCUUUUACUUAGUUUUACUAAAUAAAAUUUUAUUCACAUAUUGUUUUUCACUUUAGGAUUUAAAUAAAAGUGAUUCAUUUAUCCUAGUAUUGACAAAUUCCAUAGCCAGACCUAGAGGAUGAUACUCGGAGUACUAUAAAAGUUGUAGUGACUUUUUCUCUGAUUUUUCUUAAUCAAAGUUACUACAUAAAAAGACUUAGUAUUUGAACAAUAGAGAAGAAUGGUCAAAAUUCAAGUAAAAUGGAAUGAUUAAUAUUAAUGAAUUUUUACCAUAAUAAAGAAUGAUACUUGAUUCUAGACUACUUAGGUAUGGAUUAAAAGAUUAACAUUAGAUAGAAUAACUCACGUAUAUUAAAGCAUUUUGCUAAGUUCUUUUUAUCCUUGAUCUUUUAUGAGAUUGAGCCAAUAAGGUUACACUUAAAAAUUUAAUGUGUUUGAAACACUCCUCUAAAAUCAAUCAUUCAAAUAUUAGAAAACAAGUAAAAUAUUUUUCAUAUGCUGAUUAAUAUACCCAAGGUAGUUCUUGAAUUAUCCUAACACAAAUAUCUUGCGAGUCUUAAUUUUGUCAAAUCAAUAUAUAUCUUUAGAUUUCUAAAGAAACUACUAUACUCGCGCACAUUCAUCCAUGAGUUAGGUAGAUUUUAUCUCUUGUAAGAGUUCAAAGAUACUGCAAACAAAAUUCACUGUACAAUUAAUAUCUCUCAAUGGUAUGUUAUUCAACUAAAACUAGUAGUGUCUUAUGUUAAUGGGCUUAGUUUUAUAAUGUAAAACUAGAUCUUUAAUACAUUAAUAGCUCUCAUGUUAUCACAAGGCAUAAUUAUGAUUUAUCACUCUCACCAUAAUCCUUUUAACAUACGUUUUAUCGAAAGUAAUUGCUUGGUUUGUUAGCUUCUUAUUAAGCUAGGCAACUGAGCAAUUAAAAUAUAGAAACAUCCCCUAUAAGUGUUCUUCCGUUCUUUAGACCUUCCAUCCCUAUUCAACAUUUGUAUGAAAAAUGUUGUCUACAAAUAUAUUGGUGUAAUACCACAAUCCAAGUUUAUAAGUACCAACCACAAAUAUAAUGAUUCUAUUAACAACUCCAAGGUGUGAUUUCUUAGGAAGAUUCUUAUCACGCAUAAACUCCAGUUCUAUAGGUUUAUCCAGCCUAAAUGUCAUUACAUAAAGAAGGCUUCCAACCAUUGAUCUACAGGUGGAUAGAUUUACAAACUUACCACUCCCAUCUCUUGUAAAAAUUUUCCUACAACUUUUCUAUUGUCGUGACCUAGCUAAGUUCAGCCAUUUUAAUUUAGCUUAUAGAGAGGGCCCCAUCGCUAACAUUUCCAAUCACAUUGUUGAUAGGAUGAUCACUAAUUUCUCUAAUUUUGCUCCAUGUGGAUGUUUGCUUGAUUUUCAUUGAGUUCAUUCACAUUCUCAAUCAUUCAACUCUUUUUUCUCACCUAAAUCUAGAAUGUUUGAUGAAAUAUCCUUAAGAAAAACACAUUAUUUUCUUUACUUCCUUAGUCAUCUAUCAAUACAUUGAUCGAUUCAAUUACAACUCUUUAAUUAUUAAAGAAGAUCUUAAAGGCUUUAAGCCAAGUUGAGUAUCUAACAAAAAUUCUUUCAACAUGCUUUGAUUCAAACAUCCCUAAUUUUUUAGAAUUGUUUGGAUAAGACAUUGUUCCUAAAAACUAUAUUUUACAUUAAGCUUCCUACUUGUCUAAACAUCAUAGCAAGUCCUUUUGGUUCUAACGUAUAGGUGGACUCAAUUAGAAGUACAAGAUGUUGUGUUUAUGGGUUAACCUGACAAGUUGUUAGAGCCUUUGGAUUAAUCCAUUCUAAACCUAGGAUCGUUGGGGUGUUUGCAAAAACUAUCUUAAGGAUCUUUAGAUCUACCCAACAAAAGCAUAUACAUGAAAAAAAUACACCUGCAAACUUUAUGUUUCCAAAAUGAUUUCAGUCUAUGAAGAAGCUAGUGCAAAUCUCAAAAACCAAGAGAUCUUUUGCUCAAUGGCUCUCUUUCCUGGAUCUAGGCACUUGUAGAUGGUGAAAUCCUCAUAGAAGGGUGGAUGCUAAGGUUCCUCUCUCUAGAUUCUAAAGAAAUGGAAGAAGAAUAAAAAAGUCCUAACCCUUAAAUGGGUUUAUAUAGGAUUCCCUAUGGGCUUAAGUGACUUGAGUCUAUCUUAGGCUUAGGGGUCGCUAAAAAAAGCCCACUUGGAUCUUAGUUAAAUAAUUAGCCCUAUUAAGGUCCAAUUAAUUAAUUAUCCUUUUCCAAAAACAUCAUUCAUAAGAUCUAAAACAACUUUGCAUUUUUACCAAAACACCCUUAUGCACAUGUAUGAAUAAAUAACCUAUACAUCCCUUAAGUAAUGUGUCACAUAGAAGUAUGAACUCAAGUAGGGACCAUUAGGAGUGGUAGGAAAAUAGUGGCUCCUGUAUAAUUUAAUUCUAAAGUUGACUUAACAUCCUUCUACAAAAAAUCAAUUGCACUCUAAUAUCCUAUGAUAUUACAUUAAUAUAAAAUACAUGGGUUUGUGACCUACUAACGACUAAAAGCUAGCUCCUCAUGAAUUGGCGUCCAUAAUAUAACAAGGUGAACACUUUCAAUCUUUUAAGAUUAACUUUACAAUCCUUAUGUUAUAGAUCAUCCCAUUAAGUGAUAAAUUGACAUACUAUAACCCACAACGAACAUAUGGUAACUUCUACUAAACGAAUUACUGCAACCAUAGAUUUUGUCAUGACUACCUCAAUAGCUAAUGUCAUAAUUCAUUGUAAAUUUUGUCUAAUGUGCAAUAAUAUAUACUAAUGCACUCACCUUAGAAACCUCAUCCGAAUGACUAAGAUAAGUCAACUCGCUAAUUAGAAGGUAGUGCACUAUAAUCUCAAAUGGAUUGCCUAAAUUCAUCAACCAACUAUGAACAAAUCAUAAAUCUUGCAAGGAACCCAUGACUUGAAUCUUUCACAUAACUGCUAAUGUACUUAAGUUAUGUAUAAUACCACUACUGCAUGCAUGAAUACUCAAAUCAAUAUCAAUGUGAACAUGGAUAAAUUAGUGGAAACUCAAGCCUAACGGUGUUACAUCAUCUCUUGCUUGCAAGGGCUUUACCUUAACACCAAUAAUCAGGUAGGUUCUUGAAAUCCAAUAUAAUAUGUGCUAUUUCUUGGAGCACUUUAUUUUUCCUUUCAAUAACUUCAUUUUCUAUGGAGUUUUAGAUGUUGAAAGCUCUUCUUUAAUUUCCUUCUCACAAAAACUCUAGAAGUUAGAAUUACAAACUCAUUUCCUCUAUUAUUUCUUAUUUUUCUUACUUAAAAUUCAUUUUUAUUCAUCAUUUGAAAGCAUAACACUUUGAAUUUUAGGAUGUACUUCUUUCUUUCUAAGCAUUGCACUCUCAUAGGACCUAUGAUGAAAAUAUCGUUAAUCAUGGAUAUAUCGAUACUUCGAUUUUACGGAUAUAUCGGAGAUAUAUCGACGGAUAUUUUGGAAAAAAAUAUCGAUAAGUCUAAAACUGAUCAGAAUUUGUAAAAAUAUAAGAAAAACUUCAUAAAAAUGUAAUGAGAAGUAUAAUGAUAUUUUUAAACUGUUUUAUUAAAUAAUUUGAUAUAUGUAUAAUAUGAUUUAUCAUAUUUGAUAAUAAUAUCGUAUGCAUCGACAAAAAUAUGAAUUUUAUAAGUGUACAUUUAUUAUUAAAUUACAUUUAAUAUUAUGAUAUUUGAUUAUAAUAUGUAUAAUUUUAAAAUAUAUAUUAAUAUUAAAAUUAUGAUACAUUUAAUUCAAUUGUAUUAAACAAUAUAAAAUAAAUUAUAAUAUAUGUACAAUUUUUUAAUAUUUAAUUAAUUAUUAAUGAUAUUAAAAGCACUAUGAAGAAAAUUUUAUAAUUUUAAUAUUUUUGGUAAUCAAUUAAAAGAAAAUUUUGCAUUUAAUUAUAAAAUAAUUAUAAUUAAUUUGCUCUUUAAAAUAUUUUUUUUAAUAUUUUCCUUAUAUAAUAAGUUUAACUAUAUAUAUGUUUAGUACAUAUCAUAUAAUAAGGGUAAGUUAGCUUGGAUGGCAAGUGGGUUGAACCUCAAACCUUUUGGUUUGGGGUUCGAAUCCCCUCAACUUCAAAAUGAAGGGUUAUCGCUGAUUUUUUUGGAUUUCUCUCGAAAUUUCGUCAGAUCGAUAUUUCUCCAUGAAAUAUCGUAUCGAUACCCUCCGAUACAUGAUACAUUGGCGAUAUAUUGCCAACAUAUCGCAAUAUUUUCUUCCUUGCAUAGGACCCAUUAAAUCCAUAUGUAACAUCUCUAAGAGCCUAGAAAAAGAGAACAUCAUUUUUCUAUCACUCAUGUGAAUUCAUUGUCCUAGGUAGGACAAAUAGGAUUUUUAGGCUUUCCUAAAUGGGAAUUGCUUUAAUUAGUUCUUUAUUUGUAAUCCUAGACAAAUCAUUAGAGUUUAAAUGCGCUAUCAUACAAUGCUACAUGUCUUUGGAUGUAGAUUUCACAUUUUACAACUAUGUGCACUAUAGAUGAUGAGGAAAAAGUAGAGAGGUGUACAAAAGCAUAACAAAAAUUAUCAAAAAUUCUAUUUCUUACCAACACACAUCCUUGAAUAGACACUGAUUUUGAGUAAAAUGAACAAAGCACAUACAAUCACAAAUUUAACUUGCGUUAAUUAAGUUUGCUUUCAAUCACUCAAUAUAUAGUAACUCCUCGAGUAUAGGUAAAUUUGGACCUUCUAUGGUACAUUUCGCUUUCAAGUUGGUUAUACAUAAUGCAACCAUCCCCAAAUACAACCAAGCUUCCCUUUAUAGGUUCAAACAUGGAGAAAGACUUUAAGUUCAUUGUUGCUUUUACCAUUCCCAAAUACAACCAAACUCCUAUGAGUUCAAAAUUCAAGAAAGAUCUAAGUUCUCUCUCAUACAACUAGAGUAGCCACUCUCAAAAUCCAAAACGUGUUUUUCUCUAGCUCUUAGGCCCUAUGAUCAACUAAGGCUUUUAGGUUCUCCGUAACCCAGAUUUUCUUUCCAAUGGGCGAUUUAAAACCUAUUCAAGAAUUGUUUUUAAAAUUAAUUUUUCAGUUCUUAAAAAUAGAAACCUAUUUUCUAGACUAAAACCAUGUUUGGCAACUUUUUGACAUAUUAUAGUUUGUUGAGAAUUUGUUCUGAAAAUAAGGUUUCUCCUAAUAACAUAUUUUAAUUGCUUUCAAUUGUUUUCAUUUAUUUUAUAGGGUUGUUUUAAGAAAAUAAUAAUAAAAAUAUAAAGAAUGAUGAAACAUAAACUAAAAACAAAAGUUAUUUUUAAGAAAUAUUUGAAAAUACAAAAAAUAUAUUAAAAAUGUUCUAAGUUUUUAAAUAGGCUUUUAUUUUAGAAGACAUUAGACCAACUAUUUUUGAAAACUUUUUUCAAUAACGGUUUUUUGAAGAAUUAUUUUCAAAAAAAUUCCUAAACAAACCCCUAACCUCUGAGGAUCUAAAACUUUGCACUAAGUUUGGCUUACAUUCAACUUCUUUUAUGGACAAAGCAAUGGAGCUAGAACAGAUUUCUUUCAAUUUAGUCAAUUCUUAUUUACGUGGCUCAUAAUCAGAUUGUAAGACAUUCAAUUUUUUUAACAAGGCACCAUGCUCAUUUUCAAGGUAAGAGAUUUUUUUCAAGCAAGGAAAUCUUCUCUCAUACUUCUUUUAUUCUCAUCCAACUUUCACAAUUUUCAUCUUAAGGCACUGAUCAUACAAGGCUUCCUAGGCAAUCUCAAAUUACAACUUUUCUUCCAAAUAUGUUGUAUCAUGAGAUGAACCUUCAAAAUUUUCAGAUUCAAGAUCAGUUUCAAAUUUAACAUUUUUCUUUUCAUUGCGAAGUGAUAUAGAAGGUUACAAGUAUAUCAACAAUUUCGUCAAGCAUAUCGUGCUCUAAAAGACACAAAUAUCAUCAACAUCAUGUGAUAAUAAUCAUAAUUAUGUUUAUGCAUGUUUCUAGCAAAUUAAUGCAAUGAAAUUUGUACACUCUUCAUCAAAAUCAUACCAAAUUACUUCUAUGACCUUAUCCUUCUGACAUUCAAGUAAGUGACCUUUCUCCACACAGUAGAAACCUUGAAUCAACUAGAUCUUUUUUGUGUUUUUUUUUUCUUUUUAUCACAUUUCUUUUCCCCUGUUUAUGGUCUCAAAUAGGUUAUCCUCUGUUUCUUGAAGCUUUUUGAACUUUUUGAAACUUUAUCAAGCCUAUAAAUUUCAAAUAUUGGUCAUUUUUUAUUCCUAUUCUGAUUUAAAUGCAUGUUCAUCUACUUUUAGUGCAAUAUUAAUGUUUCUUCCUCUUAGGAACAAUUGGGGUCAUCUCUAAUUGAAGGGAGCCAACUAUCUCAUCUAGCUUAAUUGAAUCAGCAGUGUUCCAUUCCUCUAUUGUUAUGACCUUAGGUCUAAAACGAACAGAGAAGAUCUUAACAGUUUUCAGGUAACCUUGGAAUCAAGUAAAGGCCUACAUAGAUUGAAAGUUAGCAUUCACAAUGUCCAUGAUUUCAAUAAUAUAUUCAAAAAAUAUUUUUGUUGUGAUCAUUUGAAAUUCAUUCCUUCACCUAUCCUACCUUUACAUAGUUUUACCUACCCUAGUGGAUAUAUAUCCUAUCUCUAUUUAGCACCAUAUGAGGAUAUCAACCAAAUUGAACAGAACUCCAAUCUCUGUUAGACUUCAUUUUAAGGAAGUAUAUCAGUUUUACCUUGGAAUGAGCAUAAUUAUCUCCUUUGAAGUAUGGAGGUCCACCUAUAGAGGUUCCUUCUCGGAGAAUUUCCAUCUUAAGAGAAUAUAGUUUAUCCGUAUUGAGAACAUGAGCAAACAUGUUUUGAUACAAUUUAUGAGUUUUUAAGAGAGUAUGCUAUGAACUUGAGAUCUCUUUUAGAUGAUCAAAUAACAUAUGCACAUGAAUGUCAUUGAGUGAUUAGCACAAGGUCACAAACCUCCCUAAUGAAAUCUCAACCAAAAAGCACACAAAUAUUGCACAAGAUAUAACAUAAAAAAAAUCUCUAAGUGGAGAAAGGAAAAAAAAAAAAAAACCAAUGGGUGCCUUUGUUGUUGCAAAUCCACUAUGAAUAUAAAUCCAGUUUUGCCUACAAUUCCCUCCACCAGUGAAAACAAAUGGUCUUAUAUGAUCAACUCCAUUUACUAUAGGGUUAUAAAGGAAACACUUGUGGGCUGGCAGGCAGUAGCUCCUCCCAACUCAUCAUAUUUCCAACCCCAUUUGCUCCAUCAAAUUCAUAAGAAGCUAACAAAACAACUAGCAUUUUAUAUCAUACAAUAUCUAUGCUAGUUAAUUUGCAUGGAAAAGACAAUUUCUACCCUAAAUAUGCCAACAUACAGGAAGACAUACAAUUUAUACAAACAUUGUACGCUAACACAAGAAAAUCAUACCUCACUUGCUGAUUUGAGGCAAUUCACCAGAGAAUGCAUAGGUGGCAAUGAGGUCCCAAUUGAGCUGUGCAUAUCUAACAGUCGCAGACUUGAAGGAAGCUCUGGAAUUUGUGAAACCUUCUUGCAGUGACUCAAGUCAAGGGCUCUAAGGUUAGAGAGCUGACUAAUACCCACAAGCAUGUCACUGAGGGUUCCUCCUUCCUCUGGAUUGCACCGACUUAGAUGUAAUACUUCCAGAGAGGAUAGAUGGAAAAUACAAUGGAAGACUCCUCCAUUUAGAUUGCAGUUUCUUAGACUUAAUUCUUUCAAUGCGUUCAAGCAGUUAUCACUCUUUAUUACUCCUGGUGUUAGAUUGCAUUGAUCUAAAUAUAGUUUCCUUAAGAGAGAUAAACCUGACAAAGAAGGCAAUUGACAACUGAGCGAAUUUAAAGAAAGAACCUCUAGACAUGGCAUUCUCUCCAGGUCCUCCGGCAAUCUGUCAAGUUUUGAACAGCCUUCAAGACUUAGAACUUCAAGAAAUCUCAAAUUACAAAUGCUGUUCGGGAGACCUUCAAGGUUUUUACAAUUAUCCAAAUACAAGUUGCGAAGACCUUCUAGAAGUUCAAUCGAUGAUGGUAGCUCUUUUAUAGCUGUAUUAUCUAAACUAAGCCUCUCUAGUUUUCCAAUACUGCGCUUGAUUUUUGGAAAACUAGUUAGUUGUGAACAGCCACUGCAAUGAAGUAUGAAAAGGUGUUUCAACUUAUGAAUGUCCCCAGGAAGAUUCUCAAGUCUUACACACCCUAUAAAAUUCGAGGAAAAAAAAAAGUUAGUUUAAUAACAACACUCUUAUAUGUGUGUGAACCUUAAGUAAAAUUAUACAACCUGAAAGAUUAAGUUCCUCCAAAUUUGGCACGUUUGAGAAAUUUGGUAGUUCAAUAAGCUGUUGUGAAUCAUUGAGAUUGAUGUACCUUAAAUUUCUAAGACACUGGAACAAAAUAGAAUUUCUAUUAAUAAAUCAAUUUUAACCAACUUUAAAAUAUUAUAAAACAAAAGCAUAAAUAAAUGAUUAUCAUACCAUGUUUCCUUUCCAAAGUCGUUUUAUGUUACUAUUGCUCAAACCGAGGAAAACAAGAUCAUUUGGAUGAAAGUUUGGUGGUAGAGAUUCUAAAGAAUAUCCAUCCCAACCGAGACAUGUCAAGUCAUCAGACGGAAAUACAAAAUCUUCAGGAAGUUGUUCUAUGCAAUUGUGGGAGAGGAUAAGCAAUCUAAGUCUAUUCAUCCUUUUGAAAGCUUUGCAUGUAAACUGUAUCUGUUCUGAUGUGUCCAUAUGAAAGAAUAUCCCUUCAAUUUUUUCAGUCCCCUAGAUAAUAAGAGUAUAAAAUUAGAAAAGCACGAUACAUGUAAAUCCUUACUAAGGUGAUAUAGAUGAAUAUAUAUAUAUAUAUAUCUUACCGUGUUUCUUUUCAAUACUCGAUAAAUAUCUGUAUGUCUCCAUAAUCUGCUCCUCUCUCCUGGCUCAUUAGGACAUUCUUCAUCAACAAUGCCCUUGCCCAUUUGGGCUAACAAAUCAUGCAUAUCUAUUGUAUUGUCCUCUAAAAUGGUUAUGAAACAUCUAUCAACGAGAACAUUUAUUCCACUUUCCGCUUCGCAUCCGGAACCAUCCAAUAUUCUUGAAACUGCUUCCACAUCACCUCCUUGAAAGAAACAUGCAAUGUCGAGAAAUAUCAUCUUUUGUGUAUAAUCCAAUCCAUCAAAACUUAUUUUAAGCACUUUUACAAUUUCCAUGUUAGGCACCUUUCCCAACUUCCGCAAUUCGCUUUUCCAAUCUGAUAGUCUCUUUCCAAAUAAUAGAGAACCCAAAACUUUAAGUGCUAAUGGAAGACCAUCAGCAUAUCGUACUACUUGAUGAGAGAGAUCUCCAUAACCUUCCUUCAGAUGAUGUUGUUUAAAGGCAUAAAGACAAAAAAGUUGAAGAGCUUCGUGAAAAUUUAAUUUCUCAACUUCAUACAUUUUCAUUUCAUGCCUAGUUAGCAAAUCUUUUUUCCUUGUAGUAAUGAUGAUUCUACUUCCUGGACCAAACCAAUUAUGCUUUCCAAUCAAGUGUUCUAAUUGUGUCAGCUCAUCUACAUCAUCCAGAAAAACAAGAACCCUUUUCGAGGAAAGCUUGUCCCUUAUUUCUUUGAUACCCUCAUGAACAUUCCUUAAAACUAUUUUCCUCGUUGUCCCUAGAAUAUCAUUAAGAAGUUGUUGUUGUAACUUAAGAAGACCACCAGAAUUUUCUGUGGAUUCUUUUCUGACAUCUGUGAGUAAGCUUACACUUUCGAAUUGAUUUGAGAUUCGGUUAUAAAGAGCAUUGAUGAUGGUGGUCUUGCCGAUACCACCAAGCCCAUAAACCCCGACCAUGCGAACAUCAUUCAACCCAAUCUCCAACAAUGAUAUUAGUCUUUCCAAACGAUAAUCCAUUCCGACAAUGUUCUCGGUAACAGCUAAAGUCUUAGGGAAGCUUCUAGGGACGUUCUCAAUAAUUUUAUCAAUAAGCUCUGUUUCAUACCUGCGAAUUGCAAAGCAUAAUGGGACAUGUGUACUGGCGCAUUAGGAUGAGUUGCAAAAAAUAAUAAAUUAUAUGAAAUAAAUUUAAUGAUGCCUAGUUUUCCAACUAUAACUUAGCAGGGCUAAAAGGAAUUUAAAUUAAAAUAAAAUAAACCACAUCUAUCAAACUACUCAUGAGUACAGUUUCAUUAUUCAAUAUAUAUGAUAGAAAUAAGAGAAGAAAAUGCAAAAUAUGAAUUGCAUUAUCAAAAGUGGAAAAAAAAACACUAAAAUAUUUUGUGUGUUAGCUUAUACUAUUCAAUCUUUUGAAAGGUUCAAAAUAAAGUUGAGUUGUCUAGAACAUUACUACCCUAUUUUGAUAAGGGAUUCCAUCAUAGGAUCAACUGCGCAUCCAAGCUUUUUAAUCUAAUAAUUUUACUACUGAUUAGAUGGUCAAGUUUAAAAUUUUAAUGAACAGAUCUUUAUUUUAUAAAUAAUAAAAAUAAAUAAAAAAUUAUAAAAGUUUAAAACUCACUUUAGCUUUAAGCGGUUAGUCAAAUAUCUCAUACUAAACAAGUUAGAUAUUUUUUAUAUCAGCAGAAAGAAAAAAGGACAGUGCUUCAAAUGACAAAUGAAGAGAAAUUACAAUUACCUGUCCUUCGCAUCAUAUCCGGCUAGAUUGCUUGCUUGCCUCAGGGCAAUCUUCCAUUUCCUUAUCUUUUCCUUUCUCUCCUCAUCUGCAUUCUUCUCAUGAUGGGUAAAUGCUUCUCCGUAAAUCUCAGUUUGGUUCCGCAGUUCAGACGGAUCUACAUGAUAGAAAAUUGGGAUAACUACCAUUUGUUCCCUUUCCUCUUUGCAUUUCAUGAUCUUGACAAGCUCUUCCAGACACCAUUUGGAAUGAGCAUAGGUUUUUGAGAAGACAAUAAUGGCACUCCUUGAUUCUUCAAUAGCUUUUAAGAGCUCUGGUGCAAUCUCUUCUCCCCUUGGAAGCUCUUCAUCAUCUCUGAAGGUAUGAAUAUUGUUACGAAUCAAAGCCGAGUAGAGGUGAUCGGUAAAGCUUUUGCGAGUAUCUUCACCUCUGAAACUCAAAAACACAUCGUAGCUCCACUGAGAGCGAGAAGUGAAAGAAGAAGAGGAUCUCUGGAUGCUAGGGGAGGCCAUGGUUGAACAGAAAUUGGAGGAAAAAUAAGGGCCUUCGGGUAUUCAGUGACUUAAUUCCCCUAGCCUUAAUGUGAAGUUUGGAUGUUGGUGGUGGGAUGUGCUUUUUCUUUCUCAAUUAUUUCUCCUUAGCUGUAUCCCUCUAGCUUUGAACUUUCACUUUUGUCCCUUUUGGCAGUCAACAAUGGCCGGCACUCUUCUCUCUGCAAUUUCCAAUUAAUUUCUAAAAUGUAAAAAAUAAAAAAUGAUCAAAUCCAUGUGGUCUUUACUUAGGUCAUAAGAUCGUGUGAACACACAUUAAAUUAAAGUUAUUCAAUUAAGUUUUGUCUUUUCCAUAAUUAGCAAUAUUACGGUAGAAAAUAAAGGUUUAUUAAGUUGAUAUGUCAAGUAAAGCUAACAACUUUGGUAUUAUAAGCUUGAUUUUUGUAGAUGGAAAAAUAUAAUGAGUCAUAUGACAAAAAAUAAAGAAAAUUUUGAUCUUGAAGAAUAGAAAGAAGCACAAAACCUUCAUGAAAGUUUAGGGAAGAAAGACCAUGCUCAAAACUCCAAAUUUAAAUUCUCACGGACUUUUCACAUUUUGCAGCUGGCUUUAUUAUUAAUAGAAGCACAUAAAUAAAUAUUGUAAUUAAAUCCCACUAAUUUAUAGGUCAUAAUGGUAUAUAUCGGUCAUCACAGUAAUUGAGUGGGAAGGUGGGUACCUGUAAAAAGAAUAGACCAAACCAAUCACCCUAAAGUACCUUUAUCAUAAAAGUCAUUGAGGUCCUAAUGGUAAUAAUGGUGGAUAUCUUUGGAAAGAGAAAACAAUCCUAAAUUUCAAAAGAACGUCUGUUUCUUGGCAAUUGUAUCCCCGACAGCCUUAUCUUUUUUUACUUUAUAUCUUUUUAUUAUUAUUAUCGUGAGGAUGGUUAAAGAUGAUAUUAGAUAUGUAAUCUUUCUAUGGUUUAAAAAUGAAAAAUGUGAGUGUUAAGUUGGCAUUUUUACCAUUUAGAAAAUACUUGAUUUUAAGAUCAUUAAUAGGAAGAAAUAAAGAGUUCCAAAAAAUAAAGAAGCUUUUAUUGACUAAUCUAGGCAACCCCUUUCUUGGCUUUUAAUUGUAUCUACUUUGUCGAAAAUCUCAGUCAUUCCUCCUUGUCUUCCUUUUGUUAUUCCUAAGUUCCAACUCUUUUUUUUUUUUUUUAAAUAAUAAUAUUAGUUUUAUGUUUUAAUGAAAUGGGUUGCAAAUUUGAAGAAAACAUAUUCUUGUGUAUUUAUUGACUAUGACCCUUUCUUCACAAAGGUUAACGUUAUUUACAUUCUCAAACUAAUCUUUGAUGAGUUUGAGUUUUUCUUUACUAACAAAACUUCUACCAUAUCUUUCUUGUAGGAACAAAGUCAAAUGACCAUAUUUUGAGACUUAUAUGAAUGGUCUCAACCAUCCAAUCCAAAUACCUACUCAACCCACAACUUCACUCCCACCAAACAACCUUUCGACUAUUAACAUUAUACUAAGAUUUCUUACCUUUGCUAUUCAAAUUAUCGUAAUAAUGUACAUCUUCUAUUUUAUAUUUUUAAUACAUUCCAUUUAAAUUUAACUUCUUACAUCCUUUAACACCUUAUUGUGCAUUUGUGGUUAUUUUUCUAAGCUGUUUUUUAACUUUCAUUGGUGGUUCAUUGUAAUUAUGUUGGUUACUGGGUUUUUUUAUUCUAUUUUAUGCAAGAGACAUUUUGAAAGGAUUAGGUGCCUUCCAAUCUUGAUUUUAGUGAUUUUUAAAUCUUAGUUUAGGACUUUGUUUUUGAUUGAUUUAUAACAUAUUUAGGUUUGUUUAGAAUUUUAAAACUUUAAUUGCAUAAAAUAGAUUCAAGAUUUGAAUUAAUUAAUAAUUGAUUUCAUUCUCCUUUAAAAUGUAGAAUAUGAUAAACGACUUGAUAGCAAAUUCAAACAAAUCUUUAUCCAAAUGAGAAUUUAUGUAAUCUAAUCAUUUUAUUAAAUAUCACCUAGUAAAUUAUAAAAAUAAAGAUAUUAAUCACAUUUGUUAAUAUGUUUUUUUUAAAUUGACAAAUUAUGAUGAAAUUAUAAUCUUUUCAAUAUUUUAUUAAUUAUUAAUUAAAACAUCACUAUAAUUAUUCAAUCCAUGGAAUAUAAAAUGAGUUAUUUUUAGUAAUAAUAAUAAUAAUGAUAAUAAUGAUAAUAGUGAUAAUAAUAAUAAUAAUAACUAAUCAUAUUUGAAUAACAUUUCAUCAAUUAUAUAUCAAAAUAAAGUUGUAUGUUUAUCAUAACCUAUGUUUUAAAACAAAAUAAUAAAAGUUAUAUUUCCCUUUAAAUGUAUUUACAUAUCUACCUCCAUAGUCCAUGGUAUUAAAAUAAUCUAAUAAAACACAGUAUCCCAUAACCGGGCAACAGCACAGCUGCUCCUAGCUUUAGCCCCUAGCAGCUGCAAUCAGCUUUUCCACUCUCUGUUACAGUCCAGCUUUGGCCGCCCAAGACGUACAUCUUUAAAAGUUGAUUUUAUUUUUUUUAAUUGAAUGUUUUUUUUUUUUUGUAACUCUUCUCGAUUAAUAAAUAAUAAUAAUAAUAAUAAUAAUAAUAAUAAUAAUUGGAUUUGGUUUUUAAAGUUGAGUAUUUUCUUUAACUAAUUGAUAUUAUAAAUAUAUAAAUAAUUUCUACAUUCACAUUUUAUAAAAAAUAAAAAUGUUUCAUUUUGAAAAUUUUAUGCAUUAUUUUAAAAUUUUCAAAUAAAGGAUUAUUUGUAAAUAUUUCUAAAUAUGUUUGAUUUCAAUAAUUGAUAAAUUAUAUAAUCAAAAUAUUAUGAAUUGGUAAAUAUCAAUUAUUGGAUUUUAUGAAGAUAAAAUUUAUGAUAUCAAAUAGUAAUGCAUUAUAUUUAUAAAUAGAUGUAUUUUUUCUAUUUUAAAUGUAAUUAACAAUAUAAAAAAUUAAUUAAUAAUGAUAUAUUUAUGAUAAUUUUUGUUUAAAAACAUUUAUAAUUUUAUUUAAAAUUAAAUUUCAUUUUAUAUUUAAUAAUUAUAUAAAAGAUAAAAAAAAUUUAAAAGUAAAUCAAACUAAUUUAUUUAUAAAAAAUUAUUAAUUUUCACUAUUUUACUUAUUUUACAUAUAUAUGUAUUGGGACUGAAAUCUGUUCUCCAUUCUCUCAUUCUUUCCUCCAUUUCUCUUUCGUUCCUAUUCUCUGUUUCCUUUCUCCUUGUCUUCAUUUCUCUUCUAACAUCCAAACUUUUAUUCAUGACGGUUAAACUAUUUCUCUUUUCUAAGAUCAAAACAUAACUCACUGAGGUUAAAAUCCAGAUUGUGAUUGUUAUAAAAAUUCCUAGUUAGGGUUUUAGUUUUAGUUUUAAUUUUUUUGUUCUUUUUUAUUUUUUGCAUUCUUGGUCUUUUGUGUUAUUGUUUAUGUUUUAUUUGGUUUAUGGGAAAUCCUAGAAUUUAUGAAAGUUUUGGCUUUGAAAUAUCCAAAAAAUAUUGAAAUAGAAAUGACCAAAAAAAAAAAAAAAAUUGUUGAAUAAUGUUGAGUUUUUGGUUGAAUUUUUGUUUGACCGAUUUUUUUAUUUUCCAUUUUCUGAUUUGCCCUCGUAGAGUAAAGAAUUUUCCUUCAUAGUGAAGAGAUGAGAACACUCAAGAACAUUGAUUGAAAAUACGAAAAACAUCUUAUUUUUUUUCUUUUUAGAACAUUGGCAAAAACACGGAAAACAACAUUUUUUUGUUUUUUGAAAACCAGACUUUAGAAAACACGAAGAAUACAUGGGAACAAAAAACACUCUCUUAUCAAACACAUUUUGUGUGUUUUUGUUCUCAAAAACAAAAAACUGUUUUUGAAAACAUUCACCAAACAUGCCCUAUUUUUUGAGGUAAUUCUUUUUAUUCUUUUUCUUUGCGGGGGAGGGGGAGGAAAUUUUGGCGAGCUGUUAGAAAAGGGGAUCUUGUGGCAGUUGGAGUUUAGGUUGCCUCAUGUUCUCUCUCCCUCUCUUUUUAUAUUUUAGUUUUUUUGCAAUAACUUGAACUCAUUUCCUUUGAGAAUUUCAUGUUCAUUUUCCCACACUUUGUUUUUGUUCCUAAAUUUAAUCUUGUGUUUAUGUCUAUCAAUUAGUUAUUUAGGUUGAGGAAAGGGGGCCGGGCCUUAGGUCUUCCCUUUUACCCUUGAAAUGAUCCUCUCACUUUGGGUGAUUAUUGAUUUAACUAGCUUAUAAUUUGGCCGUCUUUAUUUUUUAUUGAAAUCAUCAUACCUUGAUGUUUGGAAAUUGAAGAUUCAGGGCCCUUUUGAUGGACUGUCUAGUGGAGUGUGUGGGCAUAGGAAUGAAUUAACGGAGACGUGAAAGCUUUGAUCAGUCCAUGAAAUACAAAUGAAAGGUUAUCACCAAAAAUUAAGCAUGCGUGCAUUGAUAAUAGACAAGUAAAUGAGAGAAAAUGAACUUCAAAUCUUACUUGACAACGAUACUACUAUAAUGGGAUAUUCCUCAACAUAGUGGUUAUUACUUAAUUUGGUAUCAAUAACUAUGCUAAAACCUUGCCCAUUACUGAAAAUGGACAGGGAAUAAGCAAAAAUAUUAUAAUAUGUCUGUAAUUGAUUCCUUUCAUCAUAGUAACCCAUUGGCCAGAUUGGCUUAGUUAACUAAAUGAAAACCCGAUUUCUUAUAUUUCGAAUGAACCAAAAAGGAUACAGUAGUAAACAGCUAUGGAACCAAUAUGUAUGAGGAUAAAAAACAACAACAAUUUUGAUUGAAACUAAUCUUGAAAUAAUCAAUGGCUAAGUACAUCAGGUUGUGUUUAUAAAGUCCUAGUUCAUAAGCACUAAAUUCUAAUGCUAACACUCUCUCCAAGUGCUUUCAGUCUGCUGCUUCAAUACAAGUACUCUAUAUGUGCGCUUGAUAGUAACUUGCGCUUGAUAAUAACUUCUCGUGUCCUAUAUAUUUAUACCCGAUCAAGGGCUGCCAUUUUAUUAGAUUGUUGAGUAAUGACGCUGCUUGUUGAAGGAUUGUGAGACAGAACAAUCUCAUACCCAUCAUCACAUGACUGCAUCCCCUCGGCCAUGAGUUGCCAAACCAAGCCUCCACCAAUUCCUCCACUUCUUGCAAAGUUGUAGAUGUUGGUAUAAACAACAUUCAAAAAUGAAUCCCUUUUAUUUAUAAUUUUAAUUCUAUUGUACGAAGGAAUUAAGAAAAAACUUUUAUUCUAAAAAAAUAUAAAUUUUAACCUAAAAUAAUUUAGUAUAUACUUUAUCAAGUGUAAAAUUUUAAUGAACAGAUUUUUAUUUUAUAAAAAAUAAAAAUAAAUAAAAAAAUUAUAAAAGUUUAAAACUCACUUAGCUUUAAGUGGCUAGUCAAAUAUCUCAUGCUAAACAAAUUAAAUAAUUUUUAUAUGAGCAGAUAGAGAAAAGGACAGUACUUCAAAUGAAAAAUGAAGAGAAGUUACAAUUACUUGUUCUUCGUGUUAAGGAUAAUUAGCCUUUCCAUUACAAUUUACCAUAUGUAUCAUAUUUGACCCUUGAUUACAUGCUAUUCCUUUGUAAUCAGUUUGAUAUUAUUUCCUACUUUCCAUUUCUUUUAUAAUCAGUUUGAUAUUAUUUGAUUUGUAAUAUUCUAUAAAUGAUUAUAAAUAGAAAACUCUCACCACCUUCUCAAGUGUGGUGGUUUGACAAAUAUUCUUACUUUGUAUCAUAUCCGGCUAGAUUGCCUGCUUCCCUCAUGGCAGUCCUCCAUUUCCUUAUCUUUUCCUUUCUCUCCUCAUCUGCAUUUUCCUCAUGAUCGGUAAAUGCUUCUCCACAAAUCCCAGUUUGGUUCCGCACUUCAGACGGAUCCACAUGAUAGAAAAUUGGGAUAACCGUUUGUUUCCUUUCCUCUUUGCAUUGCAUGAUCUUGACAAGCUCUUCCAGACACCAUUUGGAAUGAGCAUAGGUUUUUGAGAAAACAAUAAUUGCAAUCCUUGAUUCUUCAAUAGCUUUUUAAGAGCUCUGGUGCAAUCUCUCCUCCCCUUGGGUGUUCUUCAUCAUCUCUGAAGGUAUUAAUAUUGUUACGAAUCAAAGCCGAGUAGAGGUGAUCAGUAAAGCUUCUGCGAGUAUCUUCACCUCUAAAACUCAAAAACACAUCGUAGCUCCACUGAGAGUGAGAAGUGGAAGAAGAAGAGGGUCUCUGGAUGCUAAGGGAGGCCAUGGUUGAACAGAAAUCGGAGGAAAAAUAAAACAUAUAAAAUUAUCAAGUCCAUGGGGUAUUUAAUUAGGCCAUAAGAGAUCGUGUGAACUCACACAUACAUUAAAUUAAAGUUAUUGAAUUAAUUUUUGUCUUUUCUAUAAUGAGCAAUAAAUAUUCCUGUAGAAAAUAAAGGUUUAUUAAGUUGAUAGGUGAGGGAAAGCUAUAUAACAACUUCGGUAUUAUAAGCUUGAUUUUUUAAAAAUAAAAAAUAUAAUAAGUCAUAUGACACAUAAAAGUUCAUUUUUUUUAAAAUCAAGUCAAACAUUUUUAUCUUAUUAUAAUUUCUUAUUAUUAUAAUAAAUAAAAUAAUUUUUUAAAUAUAUUUUCCUAUUAAGAUAUAUUAUUCCUAACCACAAUCGAAUUUUUAUAAAAGAGCAAUUAGUUUCUUAUAUGAAUGUUUUAUUUAAUCAAGAUAAACAUGGAAAGAAAUUGUUAUCACAUGUCCUAUAUUGAGAAAAAUUAUAUAUAAAUUGGAAAUAAUUUUAAAAAUAAUAAAAUCUAAAAGUUGUUUCACUAUUUUCUAAAAUUAAUUUUAAUUUCUUAUAAUUUUGCUAUUUUUUUGUUGAUUUUUUAAUAAUUAUUUUAAUUAUAUAUCUAUAUAUAUAUAUAUAUAUAUAUAUAUAUAUAUAUAUAUAUCUAUAUAUAUAUAUAUAUAUAUAUAUAUAUAUAUAUAUAUAUAUAUAUAUAUGUGUGUGUAUAUGUAUACAUACAUAUUAAAAAAUGUUACUCAUUUAAGUGGUUUCAAAUGAUUUAUUUAUUUGCAUGAAAAAAACAUGAAUUGAUCAUCUUUUGAGAUGUAGUAAGAGUCGUUUGGUUUAGGUCACAGUGGUAAUGAGUUGGAAGGGUCUAGUACCUUUUGAAAGAACAAAAGGAGCAACAACCCUAAAAUUCAAAAGUGUUGGAAUAUUAAACAAUGUCUUGGUCAAAAAGGGAAAGCGCGUUGGAUCAUAUAUUGAAAAUAAUGUCUUGUUAACAAAAAAUAAUGUCUUGGUAAAAAUAGAAAACAUAUAGGAACAUUGAAUAAGACAAUACCAUAUGGUUAGGAAAGGUUAUUCUCUAAUCUUUUAUCCUUAUUGACUCAUACACUUGUUGAACCUCCUUAACAAUAGAAAGAAAGUUCAUUCUUAUGAAUCCUCAAAAUGAAUCAAAGAGAUAAAUUUCAAUUUUGAAGUAAACAUAAUUAUUUUUCUAUUUUUGUUAAAAAAUUGACAAUACUUAAUUUAUCAUGUAAGAAUCAAAGAAUAAUAGCAACUAUUCAUACAAUCGGUCUCAUUUUGUUGUAACAAAACUUAUGAUUAUUUUUCUUCCAUGUAUAUGAGGUUACUAUAAAUUCAUUUCCCACUUGUCAUGUGAUUCAAAUAGAACCUACUAGAUGAAAUUUCUCUCAACAUAUUUCCGCAUCACAAUUUUUCUUUCAUUUUUUAUUUUAUUUUGAAUUUGCAUUAAAUAAAUUUCAACCAUAGAUACGCACUAACAAUAUUUAAAUAAAGAUGAUAAUGUAUUUAAAAUUUUAAUAAAAACUGAGUUGAAUUUUUCAACUUACGUUUGAUUUCCUUCUGUUCACCUAAUGUUGGCAUUAAAAUACAAAAAAAAAAGUCAUUGUCUUCGGGAUUUUUUCUUGUGAGCUUAUCCUCAAACUUUCUUAAAAAACUAAGUUGAUUAUUGUUGUGCUCACUUAAUGUUUGCAUUAAAAUACUAGAAACUUAUUCUUGUGAGCUUAUCCUUGCACCUUCUUCGAAAAAUAUAAGAUUGAUUCUUAUUGAUAGGAAGAUAAGAACAAAAACUUCUAAUAAAUUAUAUUUUGGUAUAUUGAUAAUUUAAUGGGAAAAAACGUUAAAUUUUAUAAAUGUAAAAAGAUGAUAUAGUUGGAUGACGCAUUUAUACAAACAUAUGAAAAGAACAUUUAUAGUCAAUAAAUGAAAACCAUGUAAAUAUUCAAAAGGCUAAAAUCACAAUUGAUUGGAGCAAAAAAAUUUAGCUCAUCCUAUAUUUAUUUUUUAUCAUCAUAUUCUUAUCGAGCUUCUUAGGCAUCAAAUAUAAAAAUUCUCUAUUUAAAAUCAAAAUAAAAUAAAUAAGAUCUUGUCAACUACAAUUUUAAUUCAACUAUUUUUGUUGCUAACUAGUUCCUUGAUUUUUGGUACUUCGAUUUCUCAAACAACACAAAAUUUCAUUUCAAGGAAGACUCAUUAACAACAUGAAAUUCAAAAUUACAUAUGCAACAACCCAACCCCAAGCUUAAGUAAAUUUGUAAUUUUAUUAAUUAAGAAAAUAAAAACUUUGGGCUAUUUAAAUAUAAUUGGAUUUUAAUUUUGAGUUUGGGUUCAAGUUAAAAAAAAAUUAAUGAGCCAAAUAAAUUAAUUGGGCAUUUAUAUUCAAACAAUUAAUCUUUAGUAUUAAGAUUUAAUUGAAUUGAAAAAAAAAUAGAAAUAAGAUAAUAAAGGGAGUAAAAUAGUCAUUUCUCAUUAGAAACCUAGGUAUGAAUAUUCACUCUUCUUUACAAAAGUCUUUUUGUAUAGAGAGCAAAUGUAGGGUUUGAAAUCAAUCUUUGAAUGUAAGCACGUAUAGAUUUAAUAUUUACUUUCAUUUUUAAUUUUCAUGGGAAUUAUUAAAUAUGAUCAAAUUUUAUGAAAAAAUUAAAUAACAUNNAUUCUAAUUAAUUAUAAAGUCACUACAUUAAAAGUCUNNNNNNNNNNNNNNNNNNNNNNNNNNNNNNNNNNNNNNNNNNNNNNNNNNNNNNNNNNNNNNNNNNNNNNNNNNNNNNNNNNNNNNNNNNNNNNAAUCAAAAAGUAUAAGUUACAAAUUUCAAAGGGUGUUUAUGAGUGGAUCAAUUUUUGGUCUCAAUUAAAAAAGCUAAUUGAAAAUAAUAUAAAUAUAAUAUGUUUUUAUUUUAUUUAUUUAUGGUGAGGAUUAUAAAAUAAAUUGUUAUUUUUUAAUUUUAAAUAAAGUAAACAAAUAAGAUAAAAUAGAAAUUAAAAUCAAAAGAAAAAAAAUUAAAAAUCAAACAAUAUAAAAUAUUGAAAGUGAUUGAAUAAAAAAGAAAAAGUUUACAACUCAAAUAAGAUCAAUCUAGAAAAUACAUUACAUAUUAAAAUAUACGCAUAAAAUGCAUUUCAUACUGUUAGAUGGUAAAAGUCCAAGUAAAAAAUCGUAGGUUGAUGACCUGAAUUGCAUAGGUUGCUUUCAGACCAUUGGGACUUGUUAGGGUUCAAAGUCAAAAAUAGGACUAAUAAUAUUUAGUAAUAUCAUCUCAAGCCUAUUCCAAAAUAUGGCAACAUGGUAAAAUUAAAAAUUAACAUAAUGCUUAAUAAUAAUAAUAAUAAAAAACCUUAUUGGUUUUUUUUUUUAAAAAAAUCACUAGAUAUUGUAUAAUUUUUCUAAAAUGAAUGAGAAAAGUUAUAAUUAUGAAUCUCUUGAAGAAAAACCUUUCAAUUGCAAUCGCACUCCCUUAAAAAAAAAAAAAAAAACUUAAACAUAAAAGGGUUAAAUAUAUAAUAUGAGUAAAUUCGUUAAUCAUCACAUAAAAAACAAUUUUUCCAGACCCCCUCGAUCAACCCCAUGAGCUAACCCAAGCAACUCAAUGUUGACAUCCUAAGCUAAAUGGUAUUAUCUGAUUAAUUAUUUUACAAAAUAUACAUAUGUUAUAUCUUAAAAUUGGUUACUAAAUUAUAUUACAGUUAUCAAAUAUAUUACCAUAUAUAAAAUACAACUUAAUAAAUCUUAAGCAUAAUACAAAGCACAAUAACAAGAUAUGUUAAUUUAAGUUAUUAAGAGCUUAUUUAGUUGUGUGAUUUAAAAAUAGUUUUUUGUUUUUAAAAAACAAAAAUUAUCUUUAAAAUUUUCUAACACUAUUUACCGUUGCUUUUUGGAAACACUUUUUUAAAACAAAGUAAAAUAAAGAACAAUUUUUAAAAAACAAGUUGAAGUUGUUUUUACCAGUUUUUAAAAAACAAAAAAUAUAUAAACUCAUUUCACUAUGUUUUUUGAAACUUGUUUUUAAAUUAAAGAAUAAAAAAUAAUUUUUCAAAAUAAGUUUCAAAAUAUCAUCUAUACACAUUCUUUUUGAAUGAUUAAGAAUCGAGAUUUCUAACCAGUCGGUUAUUAUUAUUUUUUUUUUAUAAAAAAUUGAAAUUUACUUUAUCAUUUAUUGUAUGAAUAUCAUAUGGAUUUAAAAAGAAUUUCACACUUAGACAUGUACCUCUCAGAACAUUUGAAGUGAAGAUGUUCUUGUCUUCUUCAAUUUGAAGGCUCAUUAUGACUUUGAGAUUCACAUUCCUUUAAUUGACAUGAAAUGUUUGACUUGCCUUGACUAAUAAGGACCUUCAUGGCUUACCUGAUAGAGGUUGGGCCUUUACCGUUAUCCACUCAGCAAUGAUGUAUUUUCUGCACUGAGUUAUUUAAUAAAAAUGGUUUUUGAGUAAAACAGAUUUGGAUUUUGACCUAUGGAGGCCUAUGGACUUUCAAAACAGGGGUUCACUAGGGAAAAAAAAAACAGAGAAGAAAAAGAAGAAAAAUGAGAUCAUUGGAAGAAUUUUCAGCCCCUUUCAAUCACUUAGCCAUAUAAUAGAAACUAAGAAGAAGAGAAAGGAUCGUAGCUCACAAAAAGCUUGAGAUAAAUGUUUAGCAUCUUCUGCAGCAUAUCCAUCCAACAAAUUUGCAAAGAAGCUCCAACCAGUCGUGCAUAUGAUCCUCUUCAUCAUCUUGGGCAUCAACAACAUUACUGUUAAUAAUCUGUGUCGUUGUAUCCAUGGGAGAAUCGCUAUGCUCAGUGCACUGUGUCCAGUCAUAGCUUGUUUGUGCAUUAGAAUUAGUAUCUUCUGCUGCUGAUCUGGUAUCACAACUUCUCUGCUCAUCACUAUACUCCAUCAUUGUCUGAUGGUCGCGCUUGGUGGCUUCUGUGUUGUCACAGCUUCUCUGACAAUCAGUACUGGUAUCUUCUGGGAUGUUGCUGUUGAUAACAUCACGUGUAUAUAUAAGAUAGUACCCACACUCUUUCACUUCGACUGGUGCAUCCAAGCUAUGAAAUGAAGCCUUCAAACGUCUCCAUUCGUUUGACCAAUACUGCUUGUCAAUAGCAACCUUGGGAUAAUAAGUCACACACAUUUGACUUGAUUCAUCGCAAAUUGGGCAGCAAUAAAACUGGACAUCAUCCACGUGACAGCAUUCAGAUUGAUCACCACAGAUACUGAGUUCGCAAUUCAACUCAUCACAAGCCAUAGAAAUAAAAAUAGAGUAUAAAGCAAAUCCUAAGAAGUCAUCUUUUCUGUACCAAUCCAUAGGAAGCUCUAUUGUUAUUUGAGAUCCUUUUUUUGGCUGGCUUAUCCACUCUGGAAUUCCAUUAUUUCCCAAAAUAACAACUCUGAUUGCCUUGUUCCAAUAGGAGUCGCAUUCAAAUUCCUGCACAGAAGUACAGUGUUAAUACUCUGUUCAUAAGGAAAAAGGGCUGAAUGUUAUGAAAAUCAUACCUCAAUCAUUGAUUUGAAGCAUUUGAACAGAGAAAAACCAAGUUCACUUGAUGGACUUGAUGAAGUUUCCAAGCAUGUGCAACUGUGGACAUCUAAAUAUCGUAAACUUGGCCGAAGCUCUGGAACUUGUCGACGCCCCUGGCAGUGACUCAAUUGAAGGACUCUCAGUUUAGACAGUUGAAUGAUGCCUGCAAGUAUGCUACUAAAACAGUCCAUGCUUAGAUUUAGACCUGAAGCACGCAAAUCCUCUAAACAUUGCAAACUCCUCAGGUUCUCAGGAAAUUUCUCAAGUUUUGUACAGAAACUGACAUCUAGAGUUUUGAGAGAACUCAAAUUACAAAUGCUUUCUGGAAGACUCACAAGGUUGGUGCAAUCUGAAAGAUUCAAAUAUUGAAGCCCUCUUAAAUAUUGAAUUGAUGCUGGUAGUUCUUCUAUAGCAGUUCCAUCUAAAUGAAGCACUCUUAAAUUUUCCACAUCCUCAACGAUUUCCGGAAAGCUCCUUAAUCGUGAACAGCCUGAGCAGAAGAGAGUUGUAAGGGAUUUCAACUCACAUAUGCUACUGGGAAGAUGCUCAAGGUUUUUGCAUUCCCGCAAACAUAAGCUAUCAAGUUCUAAGGGACACUCAAUAGUGGGUAGUUCAUUGAUGGCAUUUCCCUUUAAACAAAGCUUUCGUCGGGAUUGCACAUCCCCUUGACAUUCCCGGCAAACGGUGGAUAUCAUUGCUUUACCAUGGUUCUGUUCAUGAUCAUGGGCAUAUAUAAGAUGGAUCCCACACUCUUCUACUUUCACUGCUUUACCUCUCAAGUAGCCACAAAAUGAAGCCGUCAACUCCCUGCAUUUAUUUGAGUGGUACUUCUUCUCAAUCAAAAGCUUAGGAUAAUAAAUCAUCCACAUUUGUGGUACAACAUAGCAUUGAAAUGAGGGAAAAAACUGGAGUUCAUCCACAAACUGAAUUUCACGACCACGCAAAGUCAAACCAUACUCGAAGUAAGUUGCAUCAUUAUCCAGUGUCUCCUCAGAUUCAUUAUCAAGUGGAUAAUAGACACAGUACAAAACAAAACCCAACAAGUCGUCAUUUUUAUACCAAUUUUGAGGAAGCUUUGCUACUACUUCAGCUCCCUUUUUGUGAUGGCUUAUCCAAUUUGGAAUUCCACUACCGUCUGAAAUAAGAUUUACUUGGGCAAAAGAUUUUUCUGUAGGAUAAAUCUCGCAUUCCAAAUCCUGCAGAAAAUUUAAUUAACACGUAAAUCCCCAUGUCUCCACAAAAAAAGUUGUGUUCUAUGAAUAUCAUACCUGAAUCAAUGAUUUGAAGCAGUUGAAUAGAGAAGACCAGAGUAGACCUGAAGAAGUUUCCAGCCGUUUGCACCCAUGUACAUCUAAGACACGCAAACUGGAUGGAAGCGCUGGAAUUUGUCGAAGCUCUUCACAGUAACCCAAAUCAAGGAGUCUCAGCCUAGAAAGUUGAUUGAUCCCAGCAGGUAUGCUCCUAAAAGGAUUCCCGAUUAGAAGUAAUUCUUGCAGAGAUGAUAGCUGGCAAAAUUCAGUGGGGAUUCCUCCUUCAUCUAUACAGCAGACAGAUAGAUCUAACACUUGCAAGGAGUACAAGCCGCAAAUAUCACUCAGGACUACUCCUUGCAUUAGCCCUGAGCAAGUUAGAUUUAACACCUUUAAGGAGCAUAAACCUGACAAAGAAAGCAAUUGGCAACAUCUUGAAUUUAAGCCCCUAGCACAGAGACGCUUCAAGCUUUGCAGCCUCCCCAGGUUUUGUGGCAAUUUGUGGAGUUCGAAACAGAAAUUGACAUUGAGAUCUUCAAGAAAGCGUAAAUUACAAAUGCUUUCUGGAAGAGUCACAAGGUUUUUGCAACUUUCCAGAUUCAAAACCUGAAGCCUAUUCAAAUGUUCGAUUGAAGAUGGUAGCUCUUUUAUAGCCGUUCCGUUCAAGUGAAGCUGCCAUAAGUUUUCCAUAUUCUCCAAGAUUUCUGGGAAGUACUGUAAUUGUGAACAGUCAGAGCAAAAGAGAGAUUUUAGGGAUUUGAACUCCCAAAUGCUUGUUGGUAGACUCUCAAGGUUUUUGCACUCUCGCAAACACAAGGUAUCAAAUUCAGAGGCACACUCAAUGGGUAGUAGGUUGAUUGUCUGACCCUUUAAACAAAGCUUUCGGUGUUCCACGUUCCUCUGACAUUCCAAGCAGCUAGCAUCCACAUCCUCAGUCUUUACUGUUGGAUCUUGAGCGUAUAAAGGUUGUAACCCACACUUGAGCACCUUAAAAUGAUUACGAGAGUCCUUAAAUAAAGCCAAAAGAAACAUGGAUGUAUUGGUGAGACUGCUCUCCAGAAUAGCAGCCUUGGGAUAGAAUAUCACCCACAUUUGUUCUGAUACACCUCCAUCAUGGUAGCAUUUACAAGUAGUGCGAAAACUGAAAUGUCGCACACACAGGGAAGAAAAUCCAUAGCCAUCACCCAAUGACAAUUGACAUUCUAACUCAGUGGAGAUUGAAGAUUCAGCUUCAGGUAAAUCGUCAGAUUCAUUCAGGGCUUCGUCACCAGAUUCAUUCUCUGAUGUUUGUGCAAAAUCAUUUUCAGGUAUGUACUCACAUUCUUUGAGUGGAACAUAAACAAAGCAUAUAGCAAUUCCCAAGAAGUCAUUAUUUUCAUAACAAUUCUGAGGAAGGCCCAUUGUGAUCUGACAUCCCUCUCUCUGAUUCCUUAUCCACUUGGGAAUUCCACAGCUUCCCGGAACAACAAUACAGAUUCCAUGGCCAAUGAAGUCAGAAUCAGGGAGAAAUACUUUGCUUGAACUGCUCUUGUAUUUCAAAUCCUGUACAAAAGGACAAUGUAAAUCCAGUGGGUCUGUGCCAUUAUGUGAGUUUUUAUGAGAGAGUUUGUUAUCGGUUUUUGCUAAAUUGAUUCCCAGUUUUAGCUUUAUUUGAUCUAUGCUCCUGAAUCUACUUAAUAUCCCUUUUAGAUGACUGAUAGUCAAUCAACAUGAAAGUGAGCGACAAGAUUAAGUGUGAAAACUGAAGUGAGGGGAAACUGAAACUGAAAGUGAGUAGAAUAAGCAGAUCUCUUCUUCACUUGCAGUAGCUUCUUCUCCAUACAGAUUCAGAGAUCUUAUAAUCGUAGCUUCAACUUAACUCUCAGAAUCUUAAAGACAAAGUUCGCUCAAGUUUCAAAAAUUCACAGAAAAAUUUCUCCUCAGGUUUCUCUUAGUCCUAUGAGGCGAGAGACAUGUAGCACACACUUAUUGGCUUUUUUCCAUGCAAGUUUCAAGGUGGAGCGUCUAAUGAACUAGAACAUUCCCUCAAAUCCUAGUGGAAAUUCACACUAGAAAUUGCAGAAUUUGGUAAGGAAAACUUUAAUUCAUUUUAUCCAUGAAUAAAAAAGAUUUAACAUUAGAGAGAAUAACUCACGUAUAUUAAAGCAUUUUGGUGCUAAGUUCUUUUUAUCCUUGAUCUUUUAUGAGAUUGAGCCAAUAAGGCUUACACUUAAAAUUUAAUUUGUUUGAAACACUCCUCUAAAAUCAAUCAUUCAAAUAUUAGAAAACAAGUAAAAUAUUUUUCAUAUGUUGAUUAAUAUACCCAAGGUAGUUCUUGAAUUAUCCUAACACAAAUAUCUUUCAAGUCUUAAUUUUGUCAAACCAAUAUAUAUCUUUAGAUUUCUAAAG
RNAcentral lists this long non-coding RNA (27105 nucleotides) under Vitis vinifera (wine grape). RNAcentral describes it as "long non-coding RNA (VVIN_LNC006328)". The record is from RNAcentral. Lineage: Eukaryota; Viridiplantae; Streptophyta; Magnoliopsida; Vitales; Vitaceae.